RNAcentral lists this ribosomal RNA (527 nucleotides) under uncultured Lactobacillus sp. RNAcentral's name for it is "bacterial SSU rRNA". It matches the Rfam family "Bacterial small subunit ribosomal RNA", at positions 38 to 524 of the family's 1533-position model. The record is from RNAcentral. Lineage: Bacteria; Bacillati; Bacillota; Bacilli; Lactobacillales; Lactobacillaceae.
GGCGGCGUGCCUAAUACAUGCAAGUCGAGCGAGCUUGCCUAUAGAAGUUCUUCGGAAUGGAAAUAGAUACAAGCUAGCGGCGGGAUGGGUGAGUAAACGCGUGGGUAACCUGCCCUUAAGGUCUGGGGAUACCAUUUGGAAACAGAUGCUAAUACCGGAUAAAAGCUACUUUCGCAUGAAAGAAGUUUAAAAGGCGGCGUAAAGCUGUCGCUAAAGGAUGGACCUGCGAUGCAUUAGCUAGUUGGUAAGGUAACGGCUUACCAAGGCGAUGAUGCAUAGCCGAGUUGAGAGACUGAUCGGCCACAUUGGGACUGAGACACGGCCCAAAACUCCUACGGGAGGCAGCAGUAGGGAAAUCUUCCACAAUGGACGAAAGUCUGAUGGAGCAACGCCGCGUGAGUGAAGAAGGUUUUCGGAUCGUAAAGCUCUGUUGUUGGUGAAGAAGGAUAGAGGUAGUAACUGGCCUUUAUUUGACGGUAAUCAACCAGAAAGUCACGGCUAACUACGUGCCCAGUAGCCGCGGUAAU